Molecule: long non-coding RNA, 801 nt
Organism: Bubalus bubalis (water buffalo)
Lineage: Eukaryota; Metazoa; Chordata; Mammalia; Artiodactyla; Bovidae
Exons: 2
Source: RefSeq, a predicted model, not a curated record
CUACUGUGUGAGGACACAGAGAGAAGGUACUGUCUAUGAAAUAGAAGCAAACCCUCUACUGAUGUCUUGAUUUUGGACUUCCCAACCUCCAGAACUGAGAGCAGGACUGAGCUGAACACCUUCUCUGGAAACAAGAUCUUUUUUAUUUCCACUGCACCUUCGAUUUACGGCGAGUCAUUCUCCAUUGACGAUAAAGAUGUAAAAUUUUCUUUCAAAAUGUAUUUAAGUUUCAGAAGUGAGCUUUGGAAAAAUACAGAGAGGAUAUAGUUCUUACAUGGACUUAGCAAAAGUUAUAAUGAAUGAAGUUUGACAAAUACUUCCAUAUCUUUCAACAACCUGGGAAGACAGGUACAAUUGUUCUCCAUUUAUAGGUAGGAGAUCUGAGGUUCUGAAAAGUUCAGUAAACUUCCGAAGGCUAUUCUAUAGGAAGGUGACUAUUGGGAUUUCAACGUAGAAGUGUCUGCAUCCAAAACUAGUGAGUGCCCUUACCUGUUAGAUACACUGCCUCCCUUAGAUGGCAAUCAUGCUUGCUUCCUCCUAGGACUGUGACUCAGAGCCCUCUGAUUGUAUUUCAUGAUAAAACCAGCCGUUCUCAUUGUAUGCGCCUUGCUGCUGGUCCUCCGUAAGGUCCUCCUCUGGGUAAUUUCAUUGUAAUACUAAGAUGCUGUUUAUCUCUUUUGCUCUUGUUCUCUCACAAGUGUACAAGGAAGUUUUUCCUGAGGCUGCAUGGCAUGUGCUAUCACAACAGAUUGAAUGUAGAAGUAGAUAGGAGAAUCCAGCUACCUUCGAUAAGCCAAACAU